RNAcentral lists this ribosomal RNA (274 nucleotides) under uncultured bacterium. Its description in RNAcentral is "partial 16S ribosomal RNA". It matches the Rfam family "Bacterial small subunit ribosomal RNA", at positions 523 to 796 of the family's 1533-position model. The record is from RNAcentral.
AUACAGAGGGUGCGAGCGUUAAUCGGAAUUACUGGGCGUAAAGCGCGCGUAGGUGGUUGUGUAAGUCGGAUGUGAAAGCCCCGGGCUUAACCUGGGAAUUGCAUUCAAAACUGCACGACUAGAGUCUGAUAGAGGGAAGUGGAAUUUCCGGUGUAGCGGUGAAAUGCGUAGAUAUCGGAAGGAACACCAGUGGCGAAGGCGGCUUCCUGGAUCAAGACUGACACUGAGGUGCGAAAGCGUGGGGAGCAAACAGGAUUAGAUACCCCGGUAGUCC